This 450-nucleotide ribosomal RNA is filed under the name uncultured bacterium. Its description in RNAcentral is "partial 16S ribosomal RNA". It matches the Rfam family "Bacterial small subunit ribosomal RNA", at positions 354 to 796 of the family's 1533-position model. The record is from RNAcentral.
GUGGGGAAUAUUGGACAAUGGGCGAAAGCCUGAUCCAGCCAUGCCGCGUGUGUGAAGAAGGUCUUCGGAUUGUAAAGCACUUUAAGUUGGGAGGAAGGGCAGUAAGUUAAUACCUUGCUGUUUUGACGUUACCGACAGAAUAAGCACCGACUAACUUCGUGCCAGCAGCCGCGGUAAUACGAAGGGUGCAAGCGUUAAUCGGAAUUACUGGGCGUAAAGCGCGCGUAGGUGGUUUUGUAAGUUGGAGGUGAAAUCCCCGGGCUCAACCUGGGAACUGCCUCCAAAACUGCAUGACUAGAGUACGGUAGAGGGUAGUGGAAUUUCCUGUGUAGCGGUGAAAUGCGUAGAUAUAGGAAGGAACACCAGUGGCGAAGGCGACUACCUGGACUGAUACUGACACAGAGGUGCGAAAGCGUGGGGAGCAAACAGGAUUAGAUACCCGGGUAGUCC